GAUGAACGCUGGCGGCGUGCCUAAUACGUGCAAGUCGAGCGAACGGACGAGAAGCUUGCUUCUCUGAUGUUAGCGGCGGACGGGUGAGUAACACGUGGAUAACCUACCUAUAAGACUGGGAUAACUUCGGGAAACCGGAGCUAAUACCGGAUAAUAUUUUGAACCGCAUGGUUCAAAAGUGAAAGACGGUCUUGCUGUCACUUAUAGAUGGAUCCGCGCUGCAUUAGCUAGUUGGUAAGGUAACGGCUUACCAAGGCAACGAUGCAUAGCCGACCUGAGAGGGUGACCGGCCACACUGGAACUGAGACACGGUCCAGACUCCUACGGGAGGCAGCAGUAGGGAAUCUUCCGCAAUGGGCGAAAGCCUGACGGAGCAACGCCGCGUGAGUGAUGAAGGUCUUCGGAUCGUAAAACUCUGUUAUUAGGGAAGAACAUAUGUGUAAGUAACUGUGCACAUCUUGACGGUACCUAAUCAGAAAGCCACGGCUAACUACGUG
Molecule: ribosomal RNA, 497 nt
Filed under: uncultured bacterium
Lineage: Bacteria
Description: partial 16S ribosomal RNA
Rfam family: Bacterial small subunit ribosomal RNA
Source: RNAcentral